This 460-nucleotide ribosomal RNA is filed under the name uncultured bacterium. RNAcentral describes it as "partial 16S ribosomal RNA". It matches the Rfam family "Bacterial small subunit ribosomal RNA", at positions 338 to 795 of the family's 1533-position model. The record is from RNAcentral.
CCUACGGGUGGCUGUAGUGAGGAAUAUUGGUCAAUGGACGAGAGUCUGAACCAGCCAAGUAGCGUGAAGGAUGACUGCCCUAUGGGUUGUAAACUUCUUUUAUAUGGGAAUAAAAUGUUCCACGUGUGGGAUUUUGUAUGUACUAUAUGAAUAAGGAUCGGCUAACUACGUGACAGCAGCCGCGGUAAUACGGAGGAUCCGAGCGUUAUCCGGAUUUAUUGGGAUUAAAGGGAGCGUAGGUGGAUUGUUAAGUCAGUUGUGAAAGUUUGCGGCUCAACCGUAAAAUUGCAGUUGAAACUGGCAGUCUUGAGUGCAGUAGAGGUGAGCGGAAUUCGUGGUGUAGCGGUGAUAUGCUUAGAUGUCACGAAGAACUCCGAUAGCGAAGGCAGUUCACUGGACUGCAACUGACACUGAGGCUCGAAAGUGUGGGUAUCGAACAGGAUUAGAUACCCCUGUAGUC